CCGGGGGGCGAAUUAGCCAUGCUAGUUGCACGAGUUCAUACUCGUGGCGAAAAGCUCAGUAACACGUGGCCAAACUACCCUACAGAGAACGAUAACCUCGGGAAACUGAGGCUAAUAGUUCAUACGGGAGUCAUGCUGGAAUGCCGACUCCCCGAAACGCUCAGGCGCUGUAGGAUGUGGCUGCGGCCGAUUAGGUAGACGGUGGGGUAACGGCCCACCGUGCCGAUAAUCGGUACGGGUUGUGAGAGCAAGAGCCCGGAGACGGAAUCUGAGACAAGAUUCCGGGCCCUACGGGGCGCAGCAGGCGCGAAACCUUUACACUGCACGCAAGUGCGAUAAGGGGACCCCAAGUGCGAGGGCAUAUAGUCCUCGCUUUUCACGACUGUAAGGCGGUCGUGGAAUAAGAGCUGGGCAAGACCGGUGCCAGCCGCCGCGGUAAUACCGGCAGCUCAAGUGAUGACCGAUAUUAUUGGGCCUAAAGCGUCCGUAGCCGGCCACGAAGGUUCAUCGGGAAAUCCGCCAGCUCAACUGGCGGGCGUCCGGUGAAAACCACGUGGCUUGGGACCGGAAGGCUCGAGGGGUACGUCCGGGGUAGGAGUGAAAUCCCGUAAUCCUGGACGGACCACCGAUGGCGAAAGCACCUCGAGAAGACGGAUCCGACGGUGAGGGACGAAAGCUAGGGUCUCGAACCGGAUUAGAUACCCGGGUAGUCCUAGCUGUAAACGAUGCUCGCUAGGUGUGGCACAGGCUACGAGCCUGUGCUGUGCCGUAGGGAAGCCGAGAAGCGAGCCGCCUGGGAAGUACGUCCGCAAGGAUGAAACUUAAAGGAAUUGGCGGGGGGAGCACUACAACCGGAGGAGCCUGCGGUUUAUGAUCCCCCCCCCCCCCCAGAAA
Molecule: ribosomal RNA, 894 nt
Filed under: Haloferax volcanii
Lineage: Archaea; Methanobacteriati; Methanobacteriota; Halobacteria; Halobacteriales; Haloferacaceae
Description: bacterial SSU rRNA
Rfam family: Archaeal small subunit ribosomal RNA
Source: RNAcentral